RNAcentral lists this ribosomal RNA (429 nucleotides) under uncultured archaeon. RNAcentral's name for it is "bacterial SSU rRNA". It matches the Rfam family "Archaeal small subunit ribosomal RNA", at positions 474 to 903 of the family's 1478-position model. The record is from RNAcentral.
UACCAGCUCUCCGAGUGGUAGGGAUGAUUAUUGGGCUUAAAGCGUCCGUAGCCGGCUUAGCAAGUCUCCUGUUAAAUUCAGCGACCUAAUCGUUGAGCCGCGGGAGAUACUACUAGGCUAGGAGGCGGGAGAGGUCAACGGUACUUCCGGGGUAGGGGUGAAAUCCUAUAAUCCCGGGAGGACCACCAGUGGCGAAGGCUGUUGACUAGAACGCGCUCGACGGUGAGGGACGAAAGCUGGGGGAGCGAACCGGAUUAGAUACCCGGGUAGUCCCAGCUGUAAACGAUGCGAGCUAGGUGUUGGGGUGGCUACGUGCCACUUCAGUGCCGCAGGGAAGCCAUUAAGCUCGCCGCCUGGGGAGUACGGCCGCAAGGCUGAAACUUAAAGGAAUUGGCUGGGGAGCACCACAAGGCGUGAAGCUUGCGGUUC